CCUACGGGAGGCAGCAGUGGGGAAUAUUGCGCAAUGGGCGAAAGCCUGACGCAGCGACGCCGCGUGAGGGAUGAAGGUCCUCGGAUCGUAAACCUCUGUCAGCAGGGAAGCACGGUCACUGUGCUAAUCAGCAGUGAAUUGACGGUACCUGCAAAGGAAGCACCGGCUAACUCCGUGCCAGCAGCCGCGGUCAUACGGAAGGAGCGAGCGUUAAUCGGAAUUACUGGGCGUAAAGCGCUCGUAGGCGGUAUGUCAAGUCAAGGGGGAAAUCCCCGCGCUCAACGUGUGAACUGCCGUUGAAACUGGCGAUCUGGAGUGUGUGAGAGGAUGGUGGAAUUCCUGGUGUAGGAGUGAAAUCCGUAGAUAUCUGGAGGAACAUCAGUUGCGAAGGCGACUAUCUGGCACAUAACUGACGCUGAGGAGCGAAAGCGUGGGUAGCAAACAGGAUUAGAUACCCGUGUAGUC
RNAcentral lists this ribosomal RNA (465 nucleotides) under uncultured bacterium. Its description in RNAcentral is "partial 16S ribosomal RNA". It matches the Rfam family "Bacterial small subunit ribosomal RNA", at positions 338 to 795 of the family's 1533-position model. The record is from RNAcentral.